CACGUCGGGCGCAAGCGUUGUCCGGAAUUAUUGGGCGUAAAGAGCUCGUAGGCGGUCUGUUGCGUCCGCUGUGAAAACUCGGGGCUUAACCCCGAGCCUGCAGUGGAUACGGGCAGACUAGAGGUAGGUAGGGGAGAAUGGAAUUCCCGGUGUAGCGGUGAAAUGCGCAGAUAUCGGGAGGAACACCGGUGGCGAAGGCGGGUCUCUGGGCCGAUACUGACGCUGAGGAGCGAAAGCGUGGGGAGCGAACAGG
Molecule: ribosomal RNA, 253 nt
Filed under: uncultured bacterium
Lineage: Bacteria
Description: partial 16S ribosomal RNA
Rfam family: Bacterial small subunit ribosomal RNA
Source: RNAcentral